Molecule: transfer RNA, 141 nt
Filed under: Orbilia oligospora ATCC 24927
Lineage: Eukaryota; Fungi; Ascomycota; Orbiliomycetes; Orbiliales; Orbiliaceae
Description: Arthrobotrys oligospora ATCC 24927 tRNA
Rfam family: tRNA
About the family: Transfer RNA (tRNA) molecules are approximately 80 nucleotides in length. Their secondary structure includes four short double-helical elements and three loops (D, anti-codon, and T loops). Further hydrogen bonds mediate the characteristic L-shaped molecular structure. tRNAs have two regions of fundamental functional importance: the anti-codon, which is responsible for specific mRNA codon recognition, and the 3' end, to which the tRNAs corresponding amino acid is attached (by aminoacyl-tRNA synthetases). tRNAs cope with the degeneracy of the genetic code in two manners: having more than one tRNA (with a specific anti-codon) for a particular amino acid; and 'wobble' base-pairing, i.e. permitting non-standard base-pairing at the 3rd anti-codon position.
Source: Rfam by way of RNAcentral
GCGUCUGUGGUGUAACGGUUAUCAUUAUUGCCUGUAAGUUGUCAAUUCCGACAUACAAAACCACCACAUCAAAAACAUCAAUCCUAACAUUCUAUCUUCUAGUCCAAGCAAUAGACCCGGGUUCGACUCCCGGCGGACGCA